This 350-nucleotide ribosomal RNA is filed under the name Hoylesella oralis. RNAcentral describes it as "bacterial SSU rRNA". It matches the Rfam family "Bacterial small subunit ribosomal RNA", at positions 43 to 380 of the family's 1533-position model. The record is from RNAcentral. Lineage: Bacteria; Pseudomonadati; Bacteroidota; Bacteroidia; Bacteroidales; Prevotellaceae.
UGGGCUUACACAUGCAAGUCGCGGAGCAUCAUGGAGGUUGCUUGCAAUUUCUGAUGGCGACCGGCGCACGGGUGAGUAACGCGUAUCCAACCUUCCCAUUACUACGGCAUACCGCGUUGAAAGGCGGCCUAAUUCCGUAUGCAGUCCGAAGCAGUCAUCUAAUUUGGACGAAAGGUAUAUUCUAUCGGUAAUGGAUGGAAAUGCGUCCGAUUAGCCAGCCGGCGGGGUAACGGCCCACCGGGGCAUUGAUCGGUAGGGGUUCUGAGAGGAAGGUCCUCCACACUGGAACUGAGACACGGUCCAGACUCCUACGGGAGGCAGCAGUGAGGAAUAUUGGUCAAUGGGCGUAA